RNAcentral lists this ribosomal RNA (495 nucleotides) under uncultured bacterium. Its description in RNAcentral is "partial 16S ribosomal RNA". It matches the Rfam family "Bacterial small subunit ribosomal RNA", at positions 28 to 507 of the family's 1533-position model. The record is from RNAcentral.
GACGAACGCUGGCGGCGUGCCUAAUACAUGCAAGUAGAACGCUGAAGGAGGAGCUUGCUUCUCUGGAUGAGUUGCGAACGGGUGAGUAACGCGUAGGUAACCUGCCUGGUAGCGGGGGAUAACUACUGGAAACGAUAGCUAAUACCGCAUAAUAGUAGAUGUUGCAUGACAUUUGCUUAAAAGGUGCAAUUGCAUCACUACCAGAUGGACCUGCGGUGUAUUAGCUAGUUGGUGAGGUAACGGCUCACCAAGGCGACGAUACAUAGCCGGACGGAGAGGGGGAUCGGCCACACUGGGACUGUGACACGGCCCAGACUGCUACGGGAGGCAGCAGUAGGGAAUCUUGGGGAAGAGGCGGAAGUCUGACCGAGCAACGCCGCGUGAGUGAAGAAGGUUGUCGGAUCGUAAAGCUCUGUUGUAAGAGAAGAACGAGUGUGAGAGUGGAAAGUUCACACUGUGACGGUAUCUUACCAGAAAGGGACGGCUAACUACGUG